RNAcentral lists this long non-coding RNA (817 nucleotides) under Zostera marina. RNAcentral describes it as "long non-coding RNA (ZMAR_LNC001234)". The record is from RNAcentral. Lineage: Eukaryota; Viridiplantae; Streptophyta; Magnoliopsida; Alismatales; Zosteraceae.
UGCCCUCCCUUGCCUCCUGGCUACCUACGCCACUGAAGAAUAUAAAUGAAAAAUACAAAAUAAAUAAAUAUAGAUGAAGAAUUAUUGAUACCUUCACAGAUGAGGAUGCUGGAACCGGCCACGGGAACGAGGGAGCGGCGGCGAGUCACGAGGCUAGAAACGGCAGGAGUCGUCGCGAGGAUGCUGAAAUCGGUGAGUCACGAGGCUGGAACCGGCGGGAGUCGUCAGCGAGGAUGCUGAAAUCGGCGAGUCGUCGGCAGGCGGGGAGAUUCAAACGGACGAGCGCGAGAUGUAAUUUGAGACAAACGAACGCGAUUCUGUCGAUUUAUUUAUUUUAUUAAACCCCAAUCCUUUCCUGGCGGAUUUCCUUCCGGGAAAUGGGGAAAAGUUCAUCCAAUCGAAACUAGGGCAGACUUUUUCCGUCCGAAUCCCCGUCAGGAAAUGUCAAUUUAAUCGGGUUUAAUUUGAAGGGGAUUUCGAAAUUUUGGACGGGAUUUCGAAAACCGACAGAGGAAACUACAAAAAUCCGCCUUCUUGCCCAUGCCUUGCCCUGAUGGAUUGUAACAAUUGAUAACAGAUUUCCUCCAUCAAAAGUACUGAACUUGUCAUGACGGAAAUCCAUCACUAUAAGUCCGCCACUAUAAGUUCGUCAUAUAAUAUCUUUUUUUUGUAGUGGUUAUUUCAUUUCAAGUCAAUAUUGUUUGUUUGUUUGUUAGUUUAAUUCAAUCUUCAAUUCAUUCAAUUACAAUAAAAUCUAUUUGUUCAACUCUAUCUUGUCUCUGUUCAUUUGGUAUUAAUUUCAAUUCUGUUGGUUUCC